Talpa occidentalis (Iberian mole) is the source of this 106-nucleotide small nuclear RNA. The record is from RefSeq and is a predicted model, not a curated record. Lineage: Eukaryota; Metazoa; Chordata; Mammalia; Eulipotyphla; Talpidae.
GUGUUUGCUUUGGCAGCACAGAUACUAAUGGUGGAACGAUACAGAGAAGAUUAGUACAGCCCCUGCUAAGGGUGACACCCAAAUUUGUGAAGUGUUGUUCCCUAUC